UUUUUUUUUUUUUUUUUUGUGAAUUGUGUUUCCAUUCCUUUGCAUAGUGCAUAAAGAGUAUACUUUGGUAUAGCAGUGCUUUGUAUAGCAUGUUGUUUUGUUACUACUUACAUGCAGGGAAAUUUUCUGUGCAUUAUCUUUCAAAUUGGAUCCUGGUUCUGUGCAGUUAUUGGAACUUCUAUUUUCUGUUUCAUAUUUCUGACUUAUGGUGACAGAAAGACAGAAACACUUGUAUUUGUUGGUUUUAUUGACAAUAGGUAUUUGAUUAAAAAAAUGUAGGUGGAGUCAAUGAGCAACCAGGAAGAAGUAGAGUUGCGUGCUAAGAUCGAAGCAUUAGGAUUAGAAGUCACCAAGGUACCAGAGCAGGCACCUAAGCAUCUUGACGAGGUAAACGCAAAUGCUCUAAUCAUGUUUAAUUGCUCUCUUCACCAUGAACCUUUAUAAAUUGUCUCAUCCGCUUCUGUUCAACCUUCUUUAGCUCGAAAUAGCUGCAGAGCUGGACAAACUAUCAUCACGGCUUGAUAACGUGGACAAGAUGAUAUCAUCUGCCAUGGCCUCAGAUCCAGAGGUGAAAUCUCUUCUUAGCAGCACUGCUGAUAUCUGGAUGCCAGUCAUUACUGCAUCUGCCGAUGAGAGACGGGGGUUUGCAGGGACAAGCAGUGAAGGCAGCCAGGACGAGGAGGAGAGUUCCAAGCAAUAGCUGGCAUAUAUGGGCUGUAAUUAUUUCAUUUUGUGGGAUCGUAUCAACCUGGUAUAUGUUCAUUCAAACCAGUGUUUUCAUCAGGGUCAUGUAUCAAAAGUUUUUUUUGACGAAAUAAACAAUAAACCCACAUAUGUCAUGUACAAUAAUUCAAUAAUGAGUGUAAUGAUCUAAAUUGUGAACCCUUCAGUUGGCCUCAAUGUAACACUGAUCAGUUUUUUCAGUUGUCACUUCCUCAGUUCUUCUGUUGUCACCUCUUCAGUUCUUCCAUUUCAAAGCUGCCCAUGGUAUUGAGCUUUGCCCCUACACUUCCCUGGACAAAAAAGGGCAAAGAGCAGUAUGGUCCAUGAUGCCGACUGGAGCAUGCACAUUAUCAGUGGACGAUUGUCAUGUCCUGCCCACGAGUCUCAUAAUUAGAUUAGCAACCACGUCUGUUAAUCCAGCUUGCCACGUGGACUGGCACAUAUCAUCCACACAUUAUCCUGUAAAACCUCUCUGUGCUCGAUGUGCUCUCCUUUGUCAUUCACAUGGAAUCGAACCAUGCAUCCAGAAAUACAUCGGGACCAAUUUGGCGCCAAACCAACUGCCACAUGAACACCACAAGUUUGCCCAUCUCUUCUCCUCCAUCCACGCUUUCCAAAUCCCUCCAAAACUGUCACCAACCAUGGCGCCGUCAACGUCCUCCCUCUCGUCCCGCCAUACACUUCACCGUCUCCUCCUCCCCCUCACUUAUCCACUCGGGAGACUUCACUUGCUUCUUAGCUUGACGAGCUUAGCUUGCUUGCUAGCCGCCGGUGAGGUCGAGCGCUGCUUCGACACGCCAUGGCGGAGGACGGCAAGUCCAACGAUCAGAUCCUCAGUGAGCUCGACGCGCUCAGCCACACGCUCUACCAGGCGCACACCAAGCGCCGCACCGCCUCCCUCGUGCUCCCCCGCUCGGCCGGCGACAGCAAUGCCGACGGCGUUGACGCCGUCCGCGCCGCGGCGCGCCCGCCCUCCCGCCGCCUGUCCAUGUCCCCGUUCCGGUCGAGGCCUAACCUGGACAAGAACGCGAACGACGACGAUGACGGCGACGACGCGGGAGCGGGCGUGGCGCUGCCGUCCAAGAGCCAGAGCUUCGCCGCGGUGGCCACGGCGGCGCCGGCCGUGGCCGGGGAGAAGAAGGGGAUCUGGGGCUGGAAGCCGAUCCGCGCGCUGUCGCGCAUCGGCAUGCAACGGAUGGGCUGCCUCUUCUCCGUCGAGGUGGUGGCGGCGCAGGGCCUCCCACCGUCCAUGAACGGGCUGCGCCUCGCCGUGGCCGUGCGAAAAAAGGAGUCGCGCGACGGCGCCGUGCAGACCAUGCCGUCGCGCGUGCAGCAGGGCGGCGCCGACUUCGAGGAGACGCUCUUCGUCCGGUGCUACCUCUACUGCAGCGGCGGCGGCGCCACGGGGAAGCCGCUCAAGUUCGAGCCCCGGCCGUUCCUCGUGUCGGCCGUCGCCGUGGAGGCGCCGGAGCUCGACCUCGGCCGGAACGCCGUGGACCUGAGCCUCCUCGUGAAGGAGUCCUCGGAGAAGAGCCAGCAAGGGGAGCGCGUCCGGCAGUGGGACAUGGCGUUCCCGCUCGCCGGGAAGGCCAAGGGCGGCGAGCUCGUCGUCAAGCUGUCGUUCCAGAUCAUGGACGACGGAGGCGUCGGGCUGUACAACCAGCCAGCCGUCGCAGGCAGGAGUAGCUCCUCUUCGUCGUCCUCCUUGUUAGCUCGGAAGCAUAGCAAGUCGUCGUUCAGCGUCACGAGCCCCAAGGUGGCGCGCCCGGAGGCGGCGCUGAUACCGUCCAAGGGCGCGCCGUCGCCGGACUUGCUGGGCAUUGACGACUUCAAGCUCGAUGAGCCUAGCCCAGCAGUGGAGGAGGUCAAUGAGGAGCAGCAGAAAGAGCCGGAGCGCGAGCCCGAGGAUGCGAAAGCCGAGGACUCGGAGUUCCCGGAGUUCGACAUCGUGGACAAGGGCGUCGAUGAGCCUAGCCCAGCAGUGGAGGAGGUGCAGCAGAAAGAGCCGGAGCGCAAGCCCGAGGAUGCGAAAGCCGAUGACUCGGAGUUCCCGGAGUUCGACAUCGUCGACAAGGGCGUCGAAGGGCAAGAAGAGAAGGAUAAUCCUCCGAAGGAAGAGGCCGAGGACAAGAAAGAAGCCAAUGAGGAGGAGGAUGCUUCGGCGGCGGCCGACGGCGACGAGGUGGUCAAGGAGGUGGUGCACGAUAGCGCGCGCACGUGGCGCCUCAACGAGCUCGAGGCGAUCACCAACCAGAUCAAGGCCCUCGAGAACAUGAUGCACAGCGACGUGGCGGACGCGGGCGACACGUCGCCAGAGCGGCAGGAGGACGAGGUGGCUGGGCUCGACGCCGAGGAGGAGGAAGUGACCAGAGAGUUCUUGAUGCUGAUGGAACAGGGAGAGGACGAGGACGGGGCGGCGGCCAAGUCGUCGUCGGCUCCGCAAGUGUCGUCGCUCAAGUCCGGCAAGAAGCCUGCCUCCGGCGCCGACGCCACGUGCUACGUCUCCGACCUCGGCAAGGGGCUCGGCCCCAUCGUGCAGACCCGGGAUGGCGGCUACCUGGCCGCCAUGAACCCGUUCGACAUCCCCGUGGAGCGGAAGGAGCUCCCCAAGCUCGCCAUGCAGCUGUCCAAGCCGUUCAUCCUCCGCGGCCAGAAGCUUCCCGGCGGCGGCGCCGAGGUGUUCCAGCGCCUGUGCGCCGGCGGCGGGUCCGAGGCGUUGUGCGCGAAGCUUGGCGCGCUCAUUGCCAUGGACGACGUCGUCGGCAAGACGGCCGAGCAGAUCGCGUUCGAGGGCAUGGCAUCGGCGAUCAUCAGCGCGCGGAGCAAGGAGCUCGUCGCGAUCACCAGCGCCGCCCACUCCGUCUCGCUGCUCCGGACGAUGUCGGUGGCAAUGAGCCACGGGCGCCAGGACAGGAUCGCUACGGGCAUCUGGAACGCCCAGGAAGCGCCGGUGGCCGUCGACGAGAUCCUGGCGUUCGCGCUGCAGAAGAUAGAGACGAUGGCCAUCGAGGCGCUCAAGGUCCAGGCCGGCAUGGUCGAAGAGCAGGCCCCGUUCGAGGUGUCGCCGGAGAAGACGCAGGCCAAGCACCUCCUGGACACCGCCGUGCCGCCGGAGGAGUGGGUGAGCGCCUGCGACGGCGCCGACGCGGUCUCCUUGCUCGUGGUGGUCCAGCUGAGGGAUCCCAUGCGUCGGUACGAGGCCGUCGGGGCACCGUCUGUCGUGAUCAUCCAGGCCGCACGGGCCGCCGGCGCCGGGGACGACGAGCGGAGGUUCAAGGUGGCAAACCUUCACCUCGGCGGCCUGCGGCUGAAGUCGCCCGACCGGCAGAACAUGUGGGACGGCGAGAAGCAGCGGCUCACGGCGAUGCACUGGCUCGUCGCCUACGGGCUCGGCAAGGCCGGGAAGAAGAGCCGGGCCGCGGCCGCCGGGAAGGCCGGGAAUGAUGUGCUGUGGAGCAUGUCGUCGAGGGUGAUGGCUGAUAUGUGGUUCAAGCCGCUGCGCAACCCGGACGUGAAGAUCCCCCAGAAGUAGCCGCAGAAAUCUUGGUCCUACAGCUUAUAUGAUUGUAAAUUAUCCUGCAUUGUGUGGUGAGGUCAAAAUAAAGGACUGUUCUUUUUCCUUUUUUGUUUGAGAGAAUUGUAAGAAUACUGAAUACCAUACUGUGAACAAGGAAUAUUACUGUGACAGCAAGUGAACAGAGGUUCGGCCCAAACAUGCAAAGAUAUACUGAAAGCUAUGCAAUGAAACAGCUGUCAUUGCUGAAUCUGAAGAUAGGCAGGGAUGAAUGCCUUCAAGAAGUAUCAACCCUGUGACACAAAAAUUAAGAGCAGUAGCAUAACGCAGAAUUUCACUUCAAACCUCAUCCUUCAAAAGGAUUAUUUACAGUGCGAGGUUGCGUUUAAUCAUGAGAAGUGUAUUCUUUUCUCAUACAUCAAUCUUACAGAAAUACAGAGCAUCCUGAAUGCACCAGUAAAGCACCACCUGACCACAAUGCUAUACCUGUAGGGGUGCUGAAGCUCAAGGUUAUUUAAGAUGGAGGCAGCCAUCUUUCAUACGCAGCUGCAGACAUCUUACACACAAUGUAUUGUAUUUCGGUCAGUUGCUUGUUCCCUGAAAGUACCAAUCUUACUCUCUUCCAAGUAGUAAGUCAGAAACGUACGUCUGAUACCAAAAAAAUGCAUCAAGAGACAUAUCCGAGUCAGAUUAUAUGUUAACUUCUUCCAGUUCACGGGGAAGCCCUCCACUCGUUGGCCUGAAAUGAGCAGAUUUACAGUCAUAACAAAGGUACCACAGAAAUGUAUCAGGAAUCCAAACAAAUGCAGCAUGCUAGUUAUGACAUAAAUGGAUAUUGACAUUUCCAGAUGGAUAUCUAUGUUUUUGACAUUUCCAGAGAACCUGUUUUCUUUGGUGUGACUGAAUAAAAAGAUUACCACAAACUUCUAGAAAGGAACCUUCACAACAAUGCUAGCAUCAGUGGACACUCGAAGUGCCAAUAAAGAGUAUUGCUUUUGCCAAACCAAUCAUAGGAGGUAACAGGAAUUCUUUGUUCUCACUAUGAAUGCAUAGCUAAACACACUGGUGAAAGAUGGUACUCGUGUAGAGAAACCAAACAUCAGCCAACAUUUGGUAAUUAUAUGAUGUUCACGUUCUCUAUUUUAACACAUUUCAUCUUUUUAACAAUUUAUUAAUAAAAUUAUACGAUGUUCAUGUUCUUUAUUUCAACACGUUUUUGAUUUAGUCCUUAAUAGAUACCUGCACAGGCACAGGCAUACAAGUAUACAACCUUUCUUCUUUCUGACAGUAUAACUAGGCCAUUGUAUAAUUAUACAGUGUGACAUCAAGCUUGAUAUAUUCCAUGAAAUAGUUCAGCAUUGUAAAAUUAAAAUCCAGUUUGUGUGUAUCGCUGUCAACAUUUCAAACCAUGCUUAUUUAGUUUAUAUAAAAGAGGAAUACACUUGAGCUAACAGGGAAACUGCAGACUUACAAUCCAGUCAGUAUCUUGAUUGUAUCAUAGAAGAACCACUGCAUGGUUAUGACAGGUCCAACAAGGGUGAUCCGAAUGGGCAGGCUUCUUGUGAACAAAUUACGAAAUCCAAUACUUUUCACAGCCUGAAAGUAUAGGAUGAGAUCAUAGAUUAAUGGCUAAUGAUUAAUGUAAUGGUGGAAUUUGAUGACAAUGACUUCCUAGGCUCAAAAGUUACAAUUAUGUCCUUACAUGUAUGAUAUUUUCAGCCUUUUUGUUGUACAGGGAUGAGACGAUAUUAUCUGCGGGAUUCGAAACAACAGUACCAACAGCACCAGAGAUGUAACCAGCCAGACAAGUAGCACCAAGCUGCUGCAUUGUUGAACAGUCCUCCUUUUUCUUUUGAAUAACUUUCUGAUAUAGGAAGUCCACGGUAUGCUCAAAUGUUGAAAACAUGAGCAUAGAAACUACAAGAAGAAGAAAGCAUGGUAAAUAGAAGAUAAAAGACAUCUGAAAGAUAAGAAGGUUAACAUCUUUAAACCAGAAGAUGCAUUUAUGAACUGACACAUUAGAGGAACAGGGAGAAGAUUCAAACAUUGCAUAGAGAGGACUUUUUAAGAUGUUGGAAGCAGAGACUGGUCGGUGGUCGCUGAUGCUGAAUUUAUAAGUUUCUAGUUCACUUAGCAGAAAUAUCAUGAUCUCCAAAAGACAGAAGUUUGACAGUACAGAUGUCGUUGCUUCUCAAACUUGAUAACCAGGGUAAGAAAUGUAAUUCAGCCUGACGAAUCAGUGAAGACUAGCAUGUUUCUACUCAUUCUUACACAACAUAUGUGAAACAACUUUUGGAAAGAAAUGAAUGCUACGAUCCAAUACUAAUUAGAUUUGAUGCAACAAGAAGUCACAUAACUAUCACCUACAUUACUUUAUCUGAUUAAGCAGCAUUUUGUGAAACAGAACAUGUACAAAAUACGGGGGAAGUUCAAUUACAAGGAAGGUUCCGUCCCCAAAGAGGUAGAAGCCCCCUGUAGAAGCUGCAAUAGCACAAGAAAUAUGUUUUCUCAGGACGGUAAAUGAAAGUUUGCAUCUUCAAGCAUACACAGAAUGCAUCAAAUAGGGAUAAUAUUCUAUAUAUCUUAUUCAUGAUAGCUUACCCAGACAGGCCUUCAGUUGCAUACACCCUUGGAAAGCCAUCAACCAAGCCUUUUGCAAACAUGGGCUGUGUCUGAACGCGGACUUUCACCGAUUCAAACGGGCACAGGCCAACAUCAGCUAUGAUUUGAGCAGAGGCACUGCUAAGGAAGUAUAUGGUGCUCUUGUUACUAUCUGGUAGUACGUCAGAGUACCUCUUCUUGAAAUACUCAUAGAGACCGAACUUGCAGCCACCCUGAACACCAUAGCCAAAAAAUUUCCCUCCCCAGCCCCUCCAAAGUGAUGAAGGUCCCUCUUCUUUCACAAGAACGUUCAGUCCUGCAAAUAUACUAUUAUACUUCAUGGGAUUCACCUGACAGAUAAAGGAAGGAAAACUAAUUAUAAACUGAAGGCACCAUUUCUGAAUCAAUGAUUAGGUGUCACAGUAGAGAAUCGAAAGGCAUGUACUCCGUAAGUGGUAUAGAGUAUAAACAACAAUUAAUCAGUUCAAAACUCUGAAAUUAUUCAAAUAAAUGCCUUCAUUUCCAUCUUCUGUUCAUCGCUAAAGCUAAGCAUCUUACUUCAUCUUUCACCAAGCUCUUAUACUGAAAUGAUUCUCCAGUUCUCCACAGAAGCAUUUCAGCAGUAAGUUCUAGUGCACUCCUAACAUACCACGCUCACCGUUAAGCUUAAAGGCUAGAAAAUCCCAAAUCCUCGUAGCAUUGGGAAAUACUAUACCGCAGCACAAACCCAAGAACUAACAGCCACCACACCGAAGGCCGCAGCGAGCCAAACAAGGUGCCGCACGCCAGCACUGCAGCGCCGCAAGACUGCAACUUGAGCACCCGACCAACCAAGCAAAUCCACUCACCUGCAUGUUGACCUUGAGCACGUCGAGCGGGGUGAUGGCGAGGUGCGUGGCGCCCGCUGCCAGCAUCCCGCCGCCGGCGCAGAGCGCGUAGUACUCCGGAGAGAACACCCUCAUCCCCGCGGCCGCUCCGCCGCCCCUCCCCGCCCCCGCGGCGGCCUCUGCGUCGCCCAUUCGCGCCGGGCCCAGGAGUGCGGGCGGAUUGGAAUCGAUCAGCGUGCUCGCCUCCGCCGCUCCGGCGUUCUUGGAGUCUGGACUGGAAAUGGACCACGUAGCGGGGCCGCGUGCCUUCCGCUUGCCUUUUCGUUGGCGUUGAACGGCUGACUUGUCCGAGCGAAGGAGCGGGGCCUCAAACCCUAGCUUGGUGGCCCGCAUGUCAGUGAGCGCGAGAGGACACGUAAGAUGGAAGCUCUCUGGGCUGGGCCUGUUCAGCAGGAACCGACCGACCGAUUGAUGUAGAUGUGUGGGGGUGGGCUUUAUAGAUGCCACAAACAGGCCCACAGCUUUUUUCUGAGGCAAAAAGAGAAGAUGCCCGGCCCGCAGGCUACAAGGUUUCACCACUUGAAAAUGACAAUGUGAGCGUGCGUUUCGCAAAAACUAGAUUUCUAACGUUGCAACAACGAACAAUAAACUGGUUUUUAAAAAUCGCCAUAAACACAAAUCUAAGCUCACGCUUGUUCUAUGAUUUUUCCUCAAUUCCUGUGUAUCAAACUCCAAUGUUCCAACAGAGAAAAGAGAAAUCUAGGCAUGCGAGCAUCUACCAGCUACCACGACCAGGCUCCUGCUCGUGCGAAGAACCCAGCAUUUUUUUGAAACGAACCGCGAAGAACCCAACAUUGCUACCUGCACCAGUACUCAACAGUCAACACAUCGCACCAGUACUCAGGUCAAGAAAGAGCAAAAACUUCAAUGGCUAAGGCAAAUAAGCAAAUCGUCAGUGUGACAAGGGAUGCCCGGGAAGCAUAUCUGACACUGUUCCAUUUCUGAACUGGAUGCAACAUGCCAACAUCCUUACCAGCAUGUAGCAGCCUUGUCUCGAAGGUAUUAACAUUCAAACCUGAUCAUCCGGUGGCAUCAGAUUCAGCCGCGGACUAUGGGUUUCACAAGUUCAGAAUCAGCUACAUUUCAUAGAAGCCACACAGCUUAGCAACAACAACAGCAAAAAAAAUGAUCAACAACACAACAGCCAAAUAGAUAACAAAGGUUACUAUAUCUCAACCAAAGUAUGGAAAAAGUCUACACAACCCUCCAACCUAUUACACGUGGAUUGCUUAACCCACCAAACUAUAAAAUCAAAGUCUACAUAACUCUCCAACCUAUUACACGUGGAUUACUUAACCCACCAAACUAUAAAAUCAAAGUCUACAUAACCCUCCAACCUAUUACACAUGGAUUGUUUAACCCACCAAACUAUAAAAUUAAAGGCUACAUAAUCCUCCAACCUAUUACACGUGGAUUACUUAACCCACCAAACUAUUUUACCCCCCUCGUGUUUGCAAAACCAUUCAAAUUACGCCUGAGCUGAUUUUGCACAGCGGUUUUGCCACGUGGCAUGCUGACGUGGACAUGGCGACGUGUGGUACCCGCUUGUAAGCGUAACGGGCCUUUUGUCGAAUCCCCCGGCGCGUGACGGCGUCUGGGUGCGCAGGGGAAAGGCGGCAGCGCGCAGGCAGCGGCCGCGGAGAGCGAGCGAGGACGGCACAGGCAAGCUCCGACACGCAAGGCGAGGACCGGCGAAAAUAGAAGCAGGCACGGGUCAAAUCGGAGCAUGUAGACGGACGAAGACACAAUCCUACUGGCCAAAUUGGGGCACGAGGCCCGCGAAAUCGAAGCAGACGCGAGCCAAAACGGAGCAUAGGCGGACGAAAUCGAAGCUGGGGCAGGCUAGAUUAGAGCACUGGCCGGUGAAAUCGGAGGUGCUGUGGACCAAGUCGGAGCUUGCGCAGGCAGAGCUGAGGACGGCGGCUGCGGGCAAGGACUGUGUCUGCAUCUCCGCCGUCGCCGCUGCCGCGGUCUCUACAUCUCUACCUCAUCCGUGGACAUGUCGGCGUCUCCGCCGCCGUCUCUGCUCACGGGGAGCCGUACGCUGCCGCCGCCGCCGCUGCUCGAGCCGUCCGCAGGCGAUGCGAUGGUCGCCCGCUUGUGCGACCCCCGCAGGCAGCACGCACCUGGCGCUGGACUCCUGGUGCCAUGGCCUUCACCUCAAUCGGGCGAGGGCAGUGACGGAACGGCUACGGCUGGCGUGGGUAGGAGCAGAGUUGGCUCAUCUUGCUCUGCUCGCCUGCGUGUGGUUUGGAACCUUUACAAAUCGAAUCUGAACCUGAACUUUGUUUCGUCACCGACCAUGGCAUAGGCUGGUUAUUGAUCUUGCCUCGCCGUUGUCUGCUUCUUGGCUUUUACUAUUCAUCAAAAAACAGUUCUCUGAAAACUAAAGUAGAGAAGAUGAACGAAGCUGAGCCCCAGCUGCCCCCGUGCAGUGCGCCGCCAUCCACUGCGUGCUCGCCGCUCGCGUCGCCCGAGCAAAGCAGCCCCGCCAAGCUACACGCGCUGCGCCUCGCCCAUCCCCGCUCCAUGCCCUGGGCGCUUGCGUUCUGAACCUCACGCCGAACAGCGCGCCGCUCUUCUCUUCGUGCCUCUGCCGUGACUCGACGAUGGAAGUGCCACGCCGCUCCCUCCCCAUCCCUGCGCAGCACGCCGGGCCGCCAUUCGAGCCAGCCGCGCAGAAGCUGCAAUCGUCCAUGGGACCAUGAACAAAGCCGCCGUGGACCUGCCCACUCACCACUCAGCACCGUCGGCGAGGAGGCUUACGAGCGGGAUGGCGGGACCCACGUGUUAGGCUAUCCGCACCGCUGAGCGGUAAGCGGGCCUGUACGUGAAAUAUGGAGGUUGAGUAGCUGCAACGCAGAUCUCUAUAUGAAUUUGCAUGCCACCGUUCCCAACAAGGAUACUGUAAACCCAACAUCUGCGUAUUCCUACGCUAUCCUCUCUCUCCAGCACAAUCUCUCUCCCACACCAGCUGCUGCCGGCGCUGCGCACGGGACCCCACGCCCACUCGUCGCUCAGCACAUGGAUUUGCAGACGGGCAUAGAGGUCUCUGCGCAGCAGCAUUCCGUGGAUGGAAAUCUGCACAGCGUGUGGGCCCCACGGUUUUGCAGAUGAGCAUACCGCUCACGCGGUGCUGAUAGCCUUAUGUGGUUCACAUCAAUAAUGCAAUCCACCUUAGCAUGCCAACAUGGCAAAACCGCCGAGUGACAUCACCUUAGGGGUUAAGUAAAUGGUUUUACAAAGAUAAGGAGUAAAAUACCCGGUUUUAUAGGUUGAGGGGUUAUGUAGUCUACAUACAAUAAGUGGAGAGGUUAGACUUUUUCCACCAAAGUACUAGUAGAUAGAUAGUCCGGAUAACAUAAUUGUACCAUAAAGCAAAGAUUAACUGGUUCCCAGUUGACGCUCGUUUUUGACACACUUCUAGUGCUAUUUAACUAGUGUUUUCAUGCUUAAUCUUAUACUAACCCGCCACUUAGCACCUAAAAUAACCCCAUUAUUGCAUGUGUGUUGUAUUUUGGAGCAUAUUGCAUUAUGAUAGGAAAUGCAACAUAAUCAAGGGGGUUUGCAUAAAGAGCUUAAUGAAUAUUUGGACACGGGUCGUCGAGGGAAGUCAGCAAGAAGAAGGAGAGGACCAGAAGGGCUAGGAAGGGCCUAGGCCGAUCGGCCUGGGACCCUUUUGGCCGAUCAGCCUAGCCCAUUCCAGGGUCCGGUCGACCUCCCGUUUCUUCAGCAUGAAGUCUACAAUGAUGUCUAGAUUUUUUUCACUGACAUUGACCCAGAGUCAUCACCUAUAGGAGACUAUAAAUACCCCCUCAUGAACAUCAAGAAGGAGAAUUGGAGAGAGAGGAAAAAACACCACGCAAACACCAUCCACCGCUACCACAAGGAGGAAAAACAGAGAGAAGAUUGGAUCUAUGGGAAGCCACGCGAAGAGGAGCACCAGAGGAGGGAGAAACCUCCCAAGCCGAUCAGCUUGGAGGUGCCCAGGCCGAUCAGCCUGGGGCUUUUCUGCCCUCGUUCGUCAUCACCUUUGGUCCAGUUGAUCUACAGGGCGAUCUUUACCCAGAAUUAUGUCAACAUGUGUAAGAUCAUGGGGGUAAAGUCUCUGUUUGUCCUUGGGGUUGUAUGGAGAUCUUAAUUUGUAAUCGCUGAACCUCUUGUUUAAGAUCUAUUUGUUAUUUAUCAUAUCUUGAUGAUACCCUUUCAUGUAAUGGCUGGCCAGCGCUACUUUGGGUUGCUUAUUUGCUUACCAAGAAUGAUCAUCAAGCCGUAUUCUUAUUGUUCAAUAUUUGAGUACCCUUGUGUAACAACCAGGUUGUUAAAAGUUUAAGAAUGGUCAUUAAAGUGUUAAUGGUGAAAUUUGGAUGAAAAGAAAGUAUUAUGGGCCAAAGUCAAAUUUGACCAAAAAUUCAAAUUCAAGAUCCAAAUUUGAAAAAAGUUAAUAAAAAUGUGGAAUCAAGUCUUGAAGGUAUUUAGAAUUUAAAGACAUCAAGUCUCAAGUCAAAUAGAAGUCAUGGGUAUCUCAAAUUCAGAGUCAAAGAGGUUGACUGGAAAUUACUAAUCACUGUCUGAAAAUGCAAAUCUGAAAAUAGUGUCAAUCAUGCCACUUUGAAAUUAAUUUCUGGAGGAUUUUCGUAUACACUUUGAAAGAUUUUUGACCCCAAGUGGACUAUGAUAUCCAGUGAAUACAUUAGGCAUGUUGUUGGACAAGGAAAGAGAAGAGUUCAAAUUUUUCUGGAAGCUCAAAGUUUGAAAGCUGCAUUGUUUUAUAUUGACUGUCAAAACUAAAUAGCAGUAGCUGUUUCAUUUCUAAGGAUAGUGAGAAAUGGCCAACUUUGGCUCAAAAUUUUGGAAGAUUCUAUAUGUAAAAGUUGGGCUUUAACAUGCAAAAUGGAAUCCAUGUCAUAUGAUUAACAAGUUCCAGUAGUCAUUGGACCAACUAAACUGAGUUUGAAUGUUAAAAUUGGAGCUCAAAAAUGAAGCCAUGGGCUGAUUUGAAAGUUUACUGAUGAACUUAAUUGCCAGUUCAAUUGAACUCUGACAAGACCAAACCCUAGCCAUUUUUCAGAGCUUAAAUUCGCAAUAUAGAGUGAUCCAGAGCCAAAACUGUUAAUCUAUAGAUUGAAGUACCGAGGAUCCUCUACAACUUUGCUUAAAGGAAAUCAUGGAGUUUGAAUUGGCAAUCGGGUGCAAAUUGGAGUUGAACUUCAGGUGAAUUUUGGUAAAGAAAAGGGGAAAUCAGAGUGGCGUUGCUGCCACGCAGCUGGUUGCCGCUGAUGGCAAGAGCGGCGCCGCUGUGCCACGUGCCAGCACAGGCAAGCGACGUGAGCUCAAGCAAGCAGGUAGGAGGUGGCAGUCGGGAAAGCGGUGAAAAAUUCAUAUAUCUACCGCUCCCGCCGGCCGGAGUUAUCCAUUCACCGCACUGCUCUAUUUUUCACCGCGCUCGGUCGCCGGUGCGCUCCGUCGCCAUCCUGCCACCGCUAGCCGUCCCACUCUGCUAGAACCACCGCCUUGAGUCCCUGAACCUGUCCCGCUAGUCGUCGUCCAGCCCCAUCCACCACAGCUCCUGCCCGCCGUCAUCUUCUUCAAUGCCGGCCACCGCUCUAUUCUGGUAAGGUUGCCGCUGUGGAGAGUUAGGUUGCCGGAGGUCUGGUCGUUAUCCAAGGGCUUGGGUGUCACACGUGAGUUCGAGAUGGUGUAAACCUAGCUUGUUUGGCCUGGAGCGCGACUGGGUUGGCCGGAGCCCUUGUGCCGCCGUGCACAAACCUCGACCACGGCCGUCGUUGUGAAGCACCUCGCUCCGGCCAUGGUGAGCUGUGGUUUGUGAGCGCGCCGCGUAGCUUAGGUCUUCGUGAAGCCUCCAGAGUUGUUUGUGGUUGUCGGUUUGCCGCCGGCGAGCUUUGCGCCGUUGGUAGGGCCAGCGCUGCCGCUGCCUUCCGCCGUUCGCUGUCGUUGUCCACCCAACCACCACUAGAGUACCAUCAGAAGAUAUGCUAGGUUGGCGCGAGUCGAGUGGGGGUGUUCCAGUUACCGGGAACCUCGCCGGCGAUGAGCCGCCGUGGUUACCCGUCGGUAGACCCACGGCCAAGGCCGGAAGGGCGGUCUGUUGACUGAGGCCCACGUGGCAUUAAGCGGGGUUAGGGCGGGGGUGCGUACGAAAAGUUCUAGAAAGGGGGUUUUUGGGAUAGUGUUUGUUUAUAGUUGUAGAAAUUAGAUUUAAACCCUAUUUUCAUAUUUAAUUCAUUGUAAUUUAUAGAAUUGUCCAAAUUUAGUGAAACUAAUUUUAUUAGGUGUAUUUUAUUUUCCUUUAUGCAUUAAAAAUUCUUCAACCCUAGGAUAAAGUAAUAAAAAUGUUAAGUAUUUAUUUAGUACCUUUGAUUAAGGUAUUUAAAUAAAUACUUACUCUUUAUGAAAUGUAUAAAAUUCUGAAUAAUGUUUUAUUAUUCACAAAUACUUGUUAAUCCAUAGGAUUUAAAUUUUUCAGAUUAGAAAUUAAUUAUAAUACUUUUUCUAAAUAAAAGAAAGGUUUAAGUUAGGUAGUUAAAGAAAUUAAUUUGUGGGUUAAUCUUUAUCGGUAGAUUAGUGUUGGCUUGCAACUUUAUCAUGAAGAUAAGUUGUAUAGUCUUUAUUUCAAAAGUUUUGCAUGUCUAACUUUGGCAAGCAUCAUAUCAUAAAAACAGAAGUCCUGGAAGUGGAUUUCUUGGAAUUCUCAGAAGAACCUCAGGAUUUUGAAGAGGUAGUUGAAUUGGUCCCUUGUGUUGAAGGAUCUUCAGAGGAAACUAACUUUUUUGUGAAUCAAGGCAAGCCUCGGUGCAUCUAAUCCUAUCUACUUUCAGAAAUUUUUAUUGAUGAGUCCAAUUAUUUGUUAUUUCCUUAUUUAUGCAUUAAGUCUAGGAGUUGAUUGCAACCUACUCUUGUGCAUGAUCCCACCUUGUUUGUAGGACAACUUUGCCACCUGUUCAAUUAAUUAGUAACCAUCCUAUGUUUAGCAAUGCUUAGAUACCUUUAAAGUAACUUGUGUUACUCAACCUCUUAAGGUAAAAAUGGUCAUACAUGUUGAUCAAGGAAUAUAGCUUGGAAUUUGGAAGAUGUGGACAAAAGCUAGAGAUGGUAGUUCUGUUCACUAAGUUUAAUCUGGUUAAAGCGCAUUCAUUGUUUUAACCGCUGAUCAAGUGAUAUUACCUGGUUGCUUACUAUCUCUGGGGACAAGCAAAGCCCGGUAGGUUAGUUGGCUCUCUUAUUGGAAAUGUUCUUAGUCGUGCUUGGCGUGCGACAGAAAAGCAGGAGCAUAGCCUGAAACUCACAUGGAGAUCAGGUAGACAUGGGGCCCUAUGUGGGGGUGCACCCCUGAGUUCGGGCAAUUAUGUUUCCGAUCGUUGGGUAUGGAUAAUCGAAAGGUCGUUAUGCGCAAAUCAAUUAGUUGUGCAUGGCUGGUAAUUAGGUAUCUCCUUCAGGAUGUAAAUCAGUUUGGAUCAUCGCAAUUCUCAGUUAUGAAUGCACUUGAUCAUCGCUUAAGCAUUGUAGAGUAAUCAAGUUGAAUAUAAAGUUUUCCUUGAAUUAAUAUUGUUGUAUGAUGUUAUUCCACUUGAUUGCUCAAAAAGUUUUAUUCACCUAGAUCGGUUCGGUACAAACUAAUCUGAAAUAAAAAGAUAAAACUAAGGUUCUACUAGUAGUAAGCUUUCCGCAAAAUGUGAGUCAGCCAGUACACUAAAAAGCUAUCAUAUUUCUUGAAACAAUAUUUUAAAUCUACCUAUACAGGUUAGUUGGGUUAGUCUUGCUGAGUACCCUCGUACUCAGGGGAUCCCUUGUUGUUGUUUUCAGAAGCGCAACAGGGGUCAACCGAAGAGGAAGGUCCGAAGAACUAGGGUAUUUACGAGUCUCGUAAUACCCUAGAGUAACACCUAGUUGUAUAAUUACUUUAUCCUCGGACUUGUUUUAUGUUCAAAACUCUUAGAAGUGAUCUAACUUGCACUAUUAAGUUUGUUUCAAUCUAUGGUUUGUAAUAAUUCGUACCUCCAGUAUGUAUGUAAAAAUGUAAUAUUUGUUAAUGCUUUCCCUUCGUGGAAGCGAUCCUGAUGUAUGGUUACGAUUCAAGUCGUGGAUGAUUCGAGGUGUCCUAGGGACACUCGACGGACUAUCGGAUUUAAACUGUUUUAAGUGUGUUUUGUAUAAUUGUUGCUCUGAUAGCGAUUAGGUGCACUUAAGCCAGUUUAAGUCUGACGGUUCCGCCACACAACGUGUGAGAGGAGAAGUGUUGGGCAUGGUUCACAUCCACUCACAAUAACACUUAGAUCCAGUUCUUUCAUGCAUGGUGAUUACAUCUACAAGCGAUCCAAGAUCCCUAGGACGCGUGUUUUAUCUAUUUUGUUUACAUUCAUACUAGUUUUUUUGUUAGAUCAAACUUAUCUUAUACAAAGAACCUUCGGUUACAUAGAUUAGUGCUUAGUUAAGCGUGCAAAUCCACUUGUUCCAUGGAUUGAUAAACCUCGAGGAAUUACUCUAAGGGAAGAGCUACAACUGAUCCGUACGCUUGCGGUUCAUAAAUUGACGUGCUAAUUGCCAUCAACAUUCCCAUAUCACAUCAUGGGCGAGAUGCUGAUGCUGAAGCCAAACACACAACUUUGUUACUAUGUAGGCAGGCAAUUAUACUAGUUCAGCCUGUCAUUACUCUUUAGCAUUACAUAUAUAACUAGACCACCACGAAGACCAAAUCAAAAGCAUAUUUGCUCUAACAGGUAGCAGGGAUUCCACCAAACUUCAGAAUGGUGGCACAAUUUGCUGUAAAUUGUGCCGCUUGAUGGGCACUAUCUCAUAUGAUGGUGGGUUUAUUUGGGCAGUAAGGACACCAGGGGGUAUUGUUUUGUUGUUCCUGCGCCUCUUAUUGGUGGCUGCGCUAAUGCUUCUCUUCCAGCUUGGGCAAGCCCUAUUUUGUGCACUGGUUUGAUCAAGCAGAACACUCUCAUGCUCUCUUGGUGAUGGGGUGCCUGAAACUUCCCACUGGACACUCUCCAGCAUAUGGUUGUUAUGUGUCAUCUGUUCUGCUAUUUUGCUUGGACUAUUACUCGCUUGCUCAAACUCAGGCAUUCCUUGCGGCAGACCAUGCAUAAUAUCUAUGUCCUCUGUUAGGAUUGGUGGUGGGAUGCUUGAUGCAAUUUGGUUGUUGUGUGUCAUCUGUCCUAUUAAGUUGCUUUGACUAUCACUCGCUUGUCCAAACUUAGUCAUUCCUUGUGCCAAACCAUGCAGAAUAUCAAUGUUCUCUGUUAGAAUUGGCGGUGGGAUGCUUGAUGCAAUUCCUUUCCCCUUCCCCACUUCAGUGUAGGAGUGGGCAGUAAUGUUUGUACCAUGGUCGACAAGCCUGAUAUCGUUGACGCUAUGCCUCUGCCUCGUAUCAUCCAGCUCAUUCUUCUUUAUUCUGUCGAAGUACUUCUGAGCAUGGCUUGCUAGCUGUGCUGGGGUCCUUGAAGGGACGAAAUACUUGGAGAUGAAUUUCCAUGAACCUCGUCCCAAGCAAUUAACACCAUUUAGAAACUGCCUGCAUUUGCAAGUAGCUUUAUAAGUUGCAUUCUACCAGGCAAUGAAGUGAAAACUAUAAAUUUGUAUAACCUUUCACAAAAUUUUCUAGGCUAUAAACACAAUUGAUACCUUCUAAGUUUCACUUAGAAUUUAUUUUUUUUAAAAAAAUAUUCACAAUACAUAUUUCGAUUUGGUGAUGAUGGUUUGUUUGCUCGCGACAGCAUAUGGAUAUAUAAAAAGAAAAAAAGGGUGUUAAUAUGUUCAAUUUAGCAUAAUUCAUGGGGAUAGCUAUGGUAUGAACAAAUAUUCUUUCGCUACAAACAAAUUUCACAACUUAUGAUAUGUAGGAGCGAUGGUAUAUAUUGGGAUUAGUAUGUAAAGUGCAUAAAACACAAACACAUCUACUGUAGACACUCCUUAAAUUAAUUUAAAUGGCAUAAGCAAAGAGUAAACAAAGUUUUACAAGCACAAGACCAUGCCCAAUUGAUAAAAAAAGAUAUAGUCAUGCAUAUCUUCUAUGACUAUGUACUCCUAUAUCACAAGUCCAAAUUAACUCUAAAGAAUUGCCGGUAUAAAACAAAAAACUUGCCAGAAAAGGAAAAUGAAAACAUUUUUGGUAAAACAGCAAAGAACACAUGUGCCAUUUCACUUUGCAAGUAUAUCUUUUGCACAAACAGAUUUGCCAUUUUAGUAAACAAGGGUUGGCACAGAAAGAUUUUUAGUGUAUUUCCUAAAAUACCCAUGGUACUAAUCUGACGUUCUUGUAUGCUAAGUUGCUAACUGCAAAUAUCCUACCAUUAGUGACUAAAUAGUUUGUGUUUCUAAACUAAUAAACAAAUUAUUAAUAAGUGUAUUUUUCAUGCAAUGAAAGCAAAAGCACUUUCUUUAGCAUGAAAAUUUUUAUUAAAACAUUUUGUGGACCACAAAAUAUUUUAAUAAAAAUUGGCAAAACAUCUAGUAUCGUUCGAUCAAUUGUUGAAAUAUUGUUCUAUGCAUAUCUUCCUUGUAAAAAAUAGAUAUCAAACUUCCAAGAUAUCAUAUGUAUUUGUAGUAUUGAAUAUGAGUGAUGAACAUGAAGAUAACAGUGCUAGGUUUUUGACACCACUAUAUAUGUAGUAAAUUUUAGCAUAACAUCAAUUUCAUAUACAGUGGAAGUCUUCACAUCAUCACAGAAAUAAGUCUCCACAAUAUGCAUCUUUUAUAGAGUCAAUGUGUAAAAAACAAGGGCACAUGCAUAACCAUAUUAGUUGUGAAGUAAAAUAUAAAGGAAAAUGAAGUUUAUAAAUAUAUGAAAUGAGGAUAACCUGUGUUCCUCGCAAGUCCAAGAUUGUUUCCUCUUCCGUGAUGACUUGCAGUGUGACUCUUGUAUUUCCACAUGAUCUUCUGGUUUGAAUAACAAUUGUUCAGGAGGUUCAAACAAAGGUGUUUCAACUAAUGGUCCCAGAACCAAGCCAUUUUUGUCUCUUUGUAAAAGUUUGUACCAAUCAUGCCAAUCAGUAGUUGCAUCAUCUCUACUUGGUUCAUCAUCUGUCUCACCACAGAGCAUAUCCUCAAAUGCUUCAGCAUAUUUCUUUCCCAACUGCUGAAUAGACUUUGCAGGGAACCUCUUUGCAAGUGCUUCCAUCCCAUCACAUGAUUUUUCGUACCAUAACUGUGUAAAAAGUGCCUUGAACUCCUCUUCUUCACUGGAAGUCCACUCUUGGGCAGCCUUUGGAUCCAUAACUUCCAAGAAUUUCUGUCUCCUGCUGCAAAGGCAAUCUACAAGUGUAUAGCCAAUCCAAUCAGAAUUGCCAGCUGAGAUUUGAAUGGGCAGGAAAUAAGCCAAGAAAAAAGUUCAUUGCUUCCCUUACCUUUGAUUCAGAUGCUCAACCUCAAAUAAAAAUCCGGGAUCGAAACAACACAACAACCUAGCGCUUUUCUGUGAGCAAGGAUCUAAUCUUCCCACUCUUGGCAAAGAGCGAAGGCUUUAUGUCAAAGAGAGUUGGCCCUUAAAGGGAAUAUAUAGGGUCCAAACUAUGUAGAGCCUGCAUGCAAUGAUAUCUAGCCGUAUCGCCCAAGGAUUAUGCAUUUAUUUUCUCAAAUGCGUUUGAGGAAUAUAAGCAGGAUUUGACGUUACUAUUUCACACUAGUCAAUAAUUGAGAAAAAUCUUUUAUGUCCCCUACAUUUGUAUGCCCAAUAUCAUCUAGACAUUGUACGGCGACAACAUUUAUCAAGAAAAUUAAUAAAGUCUUAUUUUAAAAGCAUAUUAUAUGCACAGCCGAAAUUCAAUCUCAGAAAUAUUGGCUCAAGAUAUUGCACAUGACUUAUAAACAUAUCUGGCAUUUGAUCCUCUUAAAAAAUAUCCAACAAACUUUUCUUUGAGAUAUUGCCAAUAAGUGAUAAGCCGUUUGUAAGCUAUGCCAUGUUGACUUUGUGUUGGCUUUCUUAACCAUUAGUGAUAGAUUUCAGAAUAUUUUACAAUCAUGCAAUCACAUUUGGGGGGGUGUCAAUAGUUUAAAUGAUUUGUGUAUGCAACGCUUUGGAAUAAAAGAAAUAAUGGGUGGGUGGGUGGGGGAUUAAUUAACUGCACAAGCUAUGGGCAAACUAGAUAUCUAACACUACCUCAUACAAACUCAUCCAUGCACCAGUAAAACCUUUCUUUGUAGCAAAGACACACCAAAGUCAGAAACAAACAGUUUGUUCACUUGUGUUUUGCAGGUAGCUAAGAAAAGUACUUGACAUAGUUAGUAAAAUACCACUACUAUAAUUAGUAAUUAGGAAAACAAAUGACUGAUCAAUGCGCAGAACCACUUCUUUAAAAGCAAAUCUGGAAUAUAUGCCUUUUCAAGUUCACAUGCAUAAGCAGUGAACCAGCCUUUUGAAUUCACAACAAUUAUGAAACUAGCUAACACUACACAAUAUAGAUAAAAUGGCAACCCAGGUGAACAUAUGAGAUGGCAAUGAUCAUAAGUAUCCAAAUUAAUAAUAAUGAUCACAUAAUCUAUAUGUUCAACAACACGAAACAAAUAUUUGUUUACUUCUACACAUGGAUAAAACAUCAGCAGGGUUUACCAUUAUUGCUUUGUGUCCAUUCCUUUGGGGUCUGAUCCAACAGACAUGACAAGUUUGAUUUCUCGGUAUAACAUUCAAAACACAGAUAGGCCAAUAAAGCACCCACAGCAUCCAAAAUAUGAUGCUUGAACUAAUUAUAACACCAAGUAGGAAACAUGAAAGUUUCGCGGAGCUUGUUCAAAAUACAAAUCCUCAACAAGACACUUGUACAAUGAGCUUGUUCAAAACACAAAGUAUAUUAUUGCUCGAAGACACCCAUUGACAAAACUUAUUCAUAACACAAAGCAUGCUACCACUCAAAACCACAAGUUUCAGAUGGGUUUCAGCAAACACAUCUAGGUUCCCAUCAACAUAUACCAAAGCCAAUCUAAACCAGUCAACAUCAGACCACCCAACCAAUCCAUCAAUUCAUCACCUAGUGACAUCUAGGUUCCCAUUUUCCUCCGAUCAUUCGGAUUUUCCUCACAUAAGGGAUCACCCAUCAUCUUGCACCCACAAAAAUUACAAUCCACUAAAAUAAGCCAUGAACCAAGUGACGCAACUGAAAUGCAUCCCCAUUGAAAAUAGAAAAUGAGCAAGCGCAUAGACGAAUCAGACUCACAUGUGCCAGGCCAUAGAGGCUGUGCAAGUGUGUCGUGAGCUCUGCCUCCCGACACCAACAAUACUACAUUGCCCUAUCUCCACCCAAUCCUGCAAUGCUGAAAUGUCAAAAUGGUAUGGAAAUGUGAAGGUCGCAUGAAUUAAAAUUGAACCAACAAAGUUGUGCUGAAAUCUAACCUUGAGAUAAAAGGAGACUUAGCCCAGGAGACUGUGAAAGCCAUGCCUCAUUGCUUGGAACUAGGAAUGGAGAUCAGUUGUCUGUGACGAAGAUGAUGGAGAACCAGUGUUUUUCUAAAAAAAAUAAAAGGAAAUAUAAUUAGCUCAAUGUGCUUGUCAAUUGGGCCUUUUGGGCUGCGCUGAACAAAGCCUACUUACCACGUCGUGUCUCCUCCUGCUUGCUCAUAGAUCAUGACCCGAGGCCCAAGCUAUGCAGGAAUGGAUUUUUUUAAUCUUUUACUUUAGCAAAAAUAUAUACCGGAGUGUUAUAUAUUAAAUUGAAUGUGUGAUCUACUAUAUAUGAAUGUGAACAACAACAACAUAACCUUUCGAUACCAAGCAAGUUGGGGCAGGCUAGAGUUGAAACCCAACAAGAGCCACAAAUCAGGGUUUAGGCACAUGAAUAGCUAUUUUCCAAGCACUCCUAUCUAGGGCUAAAUCUUUGGAUAUAUUCCAUCCCUUCAAAUCUCCUUUUAUUGACUCUUCCCAUGUUAAUUUUGAUCUUCCUCUUCCUCUCUUCACAUUAUUGUCACGCCUUAGGGUUCCACUACGCACUGGUGCCUCCGGAGGCCUUCAUUGGACAUGUUCAAACCAUCUCAGCCGGUGUUGGGUAAGCUUUUCUUCAAUUGGUGCUACCCCUAACCUAUCACGUAUAUCCUCAUUCCAGACUUGAUCCCUUCUCGUAUGACCACAAAUCCAAUGCAUCAUACGCAUUCCCUACCAUAUAUGAAUGUGGAGAAUAUAAUUGAUUUAACAUGGCUGAUGUAUUGCUUGAGCUCCAUAAUAUGUUAGAUAAGGAAACAUUAUCAUGGGAUUAAAAUCAAUUAUAUACUAUGUCUGCGUAUGCCUAAUAUACUCUAAAAUGCCCCACCAAAGGGGUGAGAAACAAUGUAUCACCUACUCAGUGCGUCCGAUUUAUAUGAAUCAUCCUUGGGUAUUUUAUUUGUCAACUGAUAGAGGAUAAUAUAUACCACUCUCUAAGUUCUCAAUUCAUCCGCUUCUCUACACGAUUUAUCUUGGAACACUAUCCAUAAUUCUUUCUUACGUGAAUUAGAUGUACAUAAAAAUUUUAUGCUCAAUGAGACAUGGAAAUGUAGUUCAUAAAUUUGUUUCUCAUUUGAGGUCAUCUUGACAUAGAAAUAGUUGAUACAAUGUACAAAUCUACAAAUAGGGAUCUGAACAUUGUAUCAAAUAUUUGAGUGCCCAACAUGGCUUCAAAUGAAAAAUGGUGAACUGCAAAUUUGUUAAUAUCGUUGAUAUUUACAAGUUAAUGUAAAUAUUCUCUAUAUACAAGCUCAUAUUUAAAAACAUGUAACCUUUUGAAGUUAUGGUGCACAGAUGAGGGAUAAAUUAGCCACUUAAAGGUUGAUUCAUAUAAAAAGACCUUUAAGCGGUACAUCUGCCAUGAUAUGAGUUCAUGACUUUGAAGUUGAGAAUUUGAGAUGUGAUGAUAUUAGCUUCGUAAUGAUACCUAUCAUCCAACUUGUCACCUAAUUAUAUUAACCUUACUUGAGCCUUUUUUUUUAUCCCUUACCUUUUAAUUAGAUUCUCAACCUCAAACAAAAGUUAAAGAACAGAAUAUCAUAACCAUCUAGCACUUGAGCCAUAUUGAUCCAACAUCCGUUACGGUCGUUCAUUUUAUUCAAUUCAAAAAAUAUCUGUUAACUUUUUAUUCUAAGGAUUUUCUGAUAGCCCAGAAUACAUAAAAGGGUUGGAGGAUAAGAAAAGGAUGAUGGGAAAGUGACAAGACUGGACUUUGACUCAUUUAAAAAGAGAAAUCUUGGGAAUUUCUUAUGUCAAAGAGAACUCAAAGUUGAACUAAAAGGAAUAUAUAUGACCGUGAAAGCAUGCUUGCAGUGGUUAGUGAAGCUACAUGUGGCCCUCUUUGAUUGUAUUCAAGGUCACACAACGCAUAAAACAUGAAACAGUGCACAAUAUUCUUGUGGUAACAUGUAUCUAGCGGUCCAGCCUUAUUGCAUAAAAGUUAUGCGUUUAUUUUCUCAAUUUCCCAUGAAGAAUACAAAGAGGGUUUAACAUUACUAUGACACACUUGUCAAAAAUUGAGAACAAUUGUUUACGCUGCAUGCAUCUACACAAAAAAAAAUUGUAUAUAUACAUGUACUGCACCGUAACAUUUAUCAAACAUUACUAUGAAAGAUUUGAUUUGAGAUACUGCAUUAACCCUCUUGACAAGUUGAUAUCCUUUGAUAUUUGUUGUGCAACCUAUUUGAUGUGUAAGUGCUAAACCAUUUGCGAGCUAUGCUAUAUGUUAACUUUGUGUGGAUUUUCUUUCCUCUAUAGUUUAUCUCAUAGUAACAGAAGUUGAAACUUUGAUAUAUGAAAGAUUCGGUUCGAGAUACAUCAACCACCUUGACAUCCUUUGAUAUCUGCUACGCAACCCUCUUACCAAAUUGCAACAACUAUUCUUCAAGAUAUAAUUAGUGUGAGUGCUAAGACAUUUGCAAGUUAUGAUAUAUGUUGACUUUGUGUCAAUUUUCUCUCCUAUAUAAUACAUCUCACGGUGUCGGAAGCCAAAACUUUGAUCUAUGAAAGAUUUUAUCCAAGAUAUUGCGUUAAUCCUUUUCACAUCCUUUGUUAUUUUAUAUGCAACACUCUUACCAAAAUCCAAAAUAGUAUUCUUGGAGAUACUGCUAACGUGUAAGGGCUAAGCCGCUUGCAAACUAUGAUAUAUGUUGACUUUGUGUUGAUUUUCUUUCCUCCGUAAUAUAUCUCAUAAUAUCAUUUGUUGGUUAAUAAAGCUAUAAAACCCGUUAUUGCUCAAUGAGGGAGGAAUGGAUGGGAUUUGGGGUGGGGGUACUGGUAGUGUGUGUGUGCGUGUGUCUGUGUGUGGGUGUGUGUGCGUGUGCGCAUGCAUGUGGGUGCGUGUGUGUGAGAGGAGUUUCAUCAUCAUGAAACCCAGCAGGCACAGUUAACAAAUUUUUAACUUUGGUAACUGUGUGCAGUAAGACUGGUCUAACAUCUUUAUCUGACGUAACAUCUUUAUCUGAUAGCUUGGGUCUUGGACUCUUGGGAGCUCGCUUUCUUGGGGUGGGGCACGUUCAUCCAUGAAAUGUUUUGCGAUACCAUUAAAAAAAAUAGGUGCACAAGCUAUAGGUAAAACCUAACAACUGACGACCCUGCCUCAUAAGAACUUGGAACUUGACUCUUUGAUCCAAUAAGACCAUUUUAUGUAGCCUGGUGGCCCAAGUCGUACACCAAAGUUCAUAUAAAUAAUUUAUUUUGCUACAUUGUAGGCAGUUAUAAUUGCCAUUUAGCAAAAUGAACUACUACAAUCACCAAACAAAAUGCAUGACAAAAAAAAAACACCCAUGUCCAUUCCUUGGGGAUAUAGUUUUUUAGAAUGUACAGUGCUCAUAUUUUAUUCAUGAGACAUUGGACUAAAAUUAGCAUGGAGCUACGGAAGUUGUUGAGAGAACCCUAGACACGACGGCACUGAUGGCAUUGAUAAUAAAGAGGUUGUUCAGAACACAAACAAAUACGUACUAGUGCAAAGUAUCCACCUAGAGACACUCGUGGACCGAGCUUGUUCAAUAUACAAAAAGAAUACCACCAUUCCACCCUUGAUUGUGGUAAUUGUUGCCUACGGGCACGAAUAACCAACUUAACCGGAUUCAGAUUUGUUUCAAACCUUGAUUAACAUUGUGUAAGUAUAAGGCCCCCAUUUGGUUUAUGCCAAACAUCGCCAGCAAAGCAAAAGAUUAAGUGCGCGAUGCUUCUACAUUGACGGCUUGCUAUAUAUUUUAGGCGCCGUAUAUACAUACAUGCCACAAGCAUAUUCGUUCCCUUGGGUCUUGGCUUCAGAUUUUUUUGUCGUACCUUUUCCGAUAAACAUAAUUCUCCGACCAUACACGCGAUUGACGACAAGCAAACCCAGCCACGCGGCGGCGCACGCGCAUCGGACGCGUACGGCAAGUACGUGCUCCAUGCAUUAACCUUGGCCCAUGCCCUUCGGCAGUUGACAUUGAGACUACUAGUGCGUAAUACUCACACCGAUGUCCGUACGUGCGUACGCACACACGUCACGGACCUAACUUAUGAUGAGCACGGCGAAUCGUACAGUGGCCGAAAUAUCCCCAUUCCACCGUGCCGGCCACGAUGUGAUCGAGCGACACGACCGCCGCCAUCCUCCUCCAUGGAUUCCAUCUCGAGUACAAAAGUGACGUCCUGGUCUAUAUCGAUGAUGCUCUUUUUUCCUCGGGUGCGUUUUGCGCAGUUAACCGGGAAAUCAGAUAUCCAAAAUGUUUGCGUGCACGUCGAGAUUUGCAAUUGGAAUGAAAGAGGGCAAUCUUGCCACGUAGUUCUUGAGAAAAGUUUUGCACUUAAUAUUCACAGAUUAAAAUGUCCCAAGCAGACGUUACAAGUGAUUGAUUGAAUCACCAUUGCACACUGUACAGCUUCAGUUAUCCAUCGGGAAUUGUGGCAGGACCGGAAGGAGGCUACGUGUAUGUACAAGGUGUUGGUGGUGCCCAUGGACGCGCGGCAGCCUACGACACCGACGCUCGGCAAGGUCCGCGCUCGACGACGGCGACGGCGACGGUGACGGAGUACUCCGGCUCCGUGGAGGCCUGCGCCGACGCGCAGCACUGGAGAGGAUCCGAGGACGCUGCUGCCAGCGCCGGCGCCGGGGCCACGACAAGGGCGCUGCGGCAGGAGGGGCACGUGGAGGUGCAGAGGAGCCAGGUGUCGACGCAGGCCGCGUGGAAGGCGUGGCCGCACGGCGGGAGCACGCGGAUCUCGUCGCCGCUCGCGAACUCGGCGAGGCAGAUGGCGCACUCCGGCCGCUCCCCCUCCCCGCCGUCCCCCUCCUUGCCGGCCUCAAACGGCACGGUCGGCAGCUUCCGCAGCGCCUCCUCCUCGAUCCCCUUGCGCUUCGCCGCCGCAUGCGGCAUUGCCGCCCCGUCGCCGUGCUCCGCAUCCACGGAGUAGGCCGACGGGUUGCACAGCCGCGAGCACCGCGCGACGAAGGCGAGCCCGACGACGCAGAGCAGGAAGC
RNAcentral lists this long non-coding RNA (26123 nucleotides) under Setaria viridis. RNAcentral describes it as "long non-coding RNA (SVIR_LNC002335)". Lineage: Eukaryota; Viridiplantae; Streptophyta; Magnoliopsida; Poales; Poaceae. The record is from RNAcentral.